Long non-coding RNA from Equus caballus (horse), 2155 nucleotides. RefSeq lists it as uncharacterized. The record is from RefSeq and is a predicted model, not a curated record. NCBI's taxonomy places the organism in Eukaryota, Metazoa, Chordata, Mammalia, Perissodactyla, Equidae.
UGGACUCCGCCCAAGAUCUAGCCUGAGGUCUGCUCUCUGCUUGUUAAAAAGGAGAUCAGCAAGUGUUAGCCAGGUGUUAAAGACAGACCAACACGAAGCAGAGACUGUGUUUUCCAUAAUAAGAAGAAUUGCAGAGAACCGAAAGGGAGACGAGCUCCCCAUUUUGUGAAUCUGUUUUAACGCCCUGUUUGUGUCCCACCUAAAAUAAUUACCGUCGUAGGGACCCAAGGGGAAACUGGAAUAGAGACCCUAUAAGACCUGUUUAAGCUCUAAACUUCUGUAAUUACCUAACGUCUGCGCUCCAUACUUCUUCUAAAUCAUUUAAAUCCCCUUUAUCUUCUUGGCGCUGUGUCCAUCCCAGGCAGAUGCCACUGCAAGUGCUACAUGAACUUGGGAGUUGGUUGUUGGAGGGUUCUAAAGGUUCCACAUGAAAUUUCUCUUCCCCCUCCUGUCGACCUUUGCUCAUCUGACUUCUAUCUGGUCCUGAGUACAUGCGCGUCAAAAUACUAGCACAUUUAUGUUAUACGAAAAGGAUUUCUUGAGAUGAAUCGCUCCUAGACCCUGCAGCGAAUAUGCAGAAGAUGUCCAUUAGCAUCACAGCAAUACUUGUUGGGUACUUACUUUGAAAGCAGCACUGCUCUUGAUGCUGGGGAAAGAGCUUGGGGAGGGGCAAACGGUUUCUGCCCUCACGGAGCCAAUGGGGAGGCAGACCUUAAGAAAAUGAAUCAGUUCUGGGGCAGUUGGCAGAAUAAUGGCCCCUAAAGAUGUCCAUGUCCCAAUCAUCAGAACCUGUGUUUAUGUUACGUUACAUGACAGUUGGGAAUUAUGGUAGCAGAUGGAAUGAAGGUGGCUAACCACUGACCUUGAAACAGGAGAUUGUCCUGGAUUAUGCAAAUGAGGCCAAUGUCAUCAUAAAGACCCUUAAAUGAGGCAAAGGGAGGCAGAAAUUCAGAAUCAGAGAGACAGCACAAUGAGAAAUACUCGACCCUCGACCGGCCACUACUGACUUUGAAGAUGAAGGGGAAUCAUGGGCUGGGGAGCGCAGGCAGCUUCUAAAAGCUGGAAAGCAAGAAAAGGGAAUCUCCUCCAGAGGCCCUGGAAAGGAACACAGCCUUGCUGACACCUUGGUCUUAGCCCAUUUGGACACAUUUUGGACUUCUGACCUCCAGGACUGUAAGAAUGAAGAAACACCAGAUAUGAUUUCAAGCCAUUGGGGUGCUGAUGUGGAUACCGAUGGGCUCCUGCACCUCUUUAGCCAGACAGAUCUGUUAACACCGGAUUUCUGCUACAAUUAUAAAACAUCAUUGGAGACAAGCUGGAUGGGAAAGAACCUCUCCAAAUCAUUCCUGAGUGAUAAUAUGAGAACAUCCAGCCCGAAAGAAAAAUUUGGACCACUCAGUAAUUGCAGCUGCUUGAAGUAGAGAAGGAAAGUAUGUAUCACGAGACAGCUGAUGAUGAGUUCCUACCUCAAUUUGAGUGCCUGGAUAUUCUGAGGACAACUUCCAGCUGGGGAGACUGAGGGAGGUCUUCAUGAAGGAGGUGUCUCAACAAAGUGGUAGGAUGAAAAAAUUUGGAGCUUUUUAUUGAUUGCUGAGCAGAAUACAAAGAAAGAAGACAAGAUCUCUGCCAGUUCACUGAUUCCUCUGUGGGACUGGCUCUUAGUAAGCUGCACGUUUGCAUGGCUCCAGAUACUUACCUCUGUGUUCGUGUGACCCUCACCCUAAUUCCCUAGUGGUGAUGGAUAGCUGGAAUUGCGAUUCCCCUCUUACAACUGCCUGACCAGAAGUGAGGAGACUUGUUACAGGUCUCACAGCUCACGAUUGCAGAGCCAGAGAGAAAAUCUGUGUCUCCCAACCUUGCUGCAAUUCAUUCUAAGUGCACAGGCUGGGACCCUGUGAGGCCUCCGUGAACAGCUUGGUAAAUCUUAGGAGGGACGGCUUGCUGCUGUAAUUAAGGUGUGGAUUAUAGGUUUCCACUCCUCUGGGAAGGAGGAAAAAGACAAAGCAAAACAAAACAAACUAACAGAAACGCCUCUAAGGCUCUUCUGCUUUGUGUAUUGACUUGAAGGUUUCAAAGUGUACUGAGGUUUCCAUGAGAUAUGGAUGGUCUCUGCCUUGUUUGAGUUUCUGGGAAUAUCAGGAAUAAAUUUGCUUUU